Camellia sinensis is the source of this 1929-nucleotide non-coding RNA. Lineage: Eukaryota; Viridiplantae; Streptophyta; Magnoliopsida; Ericales; Theaceae. The record is from RefSeq and is a predicted model, not a curated record.
UCUCUCUCUCAUACUUUUGUGUUUUUGUGGGUAUGCUAUGCUUUCUUUCAUGUCUUGGGUUCUGUUAAUUGAUUUGGUAAGCAAUUUCAUCAAUAUUUUAGCAAUGCCUUCAUCAAUUGAUGAGCGGUUCUCUUUUUCCCUUAAAAUGAGCUGUUUCUUCACUACAUAGCCGUGCUGUGUCAAUCUCUUAAGCAAUUUCGGUGUUCAAACAGUUCACAAUAUCAAUAUCAAUAUUGUAGCCUAAUUUUUCCUUUUUUUUUUAAUCCAAAUUUUGUUUUUUGUUGUGACAGUGCGUUGGCUACUUCCCAUGAGCAAACCAAAUGGAUCCAAAAGGGUUGGUUCAUAUUUUGCUUAUGGGAGGAUUUGAAUAGUUGGAGCUAUUUGAAUAUAUAUUUUUUUUGUUUUUGUUUUUUGCAGCUGCUAUCCAUAGCAUUUCAAUGCACCAUGUUGACCCAUUAAAGGUAUCACAAUUCUUUAAUAGGAUGCUUGGCUUCCAUUGGGAACAAAAUUAUUCCAUCAGUUUUUAGUUUACGAAUUUUUUUAAAUUUAAUAUUGUCAUUUCUAAGUUAUUGAAAAUGAUUUAUAAUAAAAACAUAUAUACUCAUUUCUUAUUGCAGAACAUUUGUUGUGUCAUAUGGUUGCUUGGUCUAAUUAUUAGUUCCCUAUUAUUUGUCAUGUGUCAUUUUAGCUACCAUUUAGCAGGUUUGUUUAUGUAGUGUUGAUUAAAUUUUUUUUCUUCAAUUUCUUUAUGGAUAACUGAAAGAGGAGUGUAGAGAAGUUGGGCAUAAUUGUUUGUGUUUCUUUAUAGUUUUGACUUCAUUUAUAUGAAUAUGACAUGUGUUGAAAUCUCUGUUAUUAGAAUCAUACAAUUUGCGAUUUGAUUCAGUGAGUAAUCAAUACGAACAGGUUGUAUGAAUCGCAAAUAGCCAUGAAUCGUAGGUGAAUCGGUGAACCAAAUCGGUAAAUCGUGAAGUGAAUCAAUUCGAUUCGCUAAACUCUAUGUUUGACUUUCUUUUUUAGUUUUUUAUUGUUGGAAAAGGGUUAACACAACCCUUUUAAGGUCUUUAAGAUUACUAUAUGCCAUCUUUUGACUUUCUCCCUCCCUCUUUUGUUAGUUUUUCAUAUCUCUUUAUCCCCUUAACAUUAUAUCCAUAAGUCAGUGGAGCUUUGUUAGUUUUAUUUAUAGAUUUAUUUAUUUUUGAUGUUGUUGUUGUUGAUGAAAUAUAUAUAAAAUUAAGAUGAAUCUUCCUUUCGAAUUCUGCAAACCCUCUAGCUCCUUCAUCUGUGUUGGGCACACCCAUCUUUUAUUAUUGUAGUUUUCUGUCUUUUUUAUUUUUUUUAUUUUUUUAUUUUAUCAGGGAAUUAGUUUUAGCAUGAAAGAUCUUUUCUCCUAACAUCAAUGCACAAUUUUUUGUUGAGUUGGAGUGUUGUAGAGAAAUUAUCAAUUCAUGUAAGGUUGAUGUUUUUAUUCUUAAUGCUUUGUACAUGUGACGGAGGCAUCAGAAUCUGGUGAGGAGAAUAGUUCUAAAGGCUCCAUCAAUAGAGGGAAUGGAAGGUGAGGGAGAGAUUAAUCGAAUGAUCAAAUUUUUGGUUGAGGAAAAAGUUCCCCUUUGCUAAACUUUUGAACUGGGAUUGGUGUAAUCCAUAGACAUAUAUGCUUGAUUGGAGGAUUAGGUGAUUGCCCAAAGAGAGGUGGUUUUGUUGAUUAAGGUUUAGUUUCUUCUUUUUUUUCUUUUUUUUUUUUUUGUUGAUUUUUACUUUCUAUUUUUCUUUUCCUUAGUAAUUAGCAAGAGAGAAGUGUAAUAUGAAGAGUCUGAGACUUAAGCUUAGUAAAGUGAAAUGAGUGUUGUAACUAACUAAUACUACUGAGACUUGAGUGUAAUAUGUUCAUGAGUUUGCUAAUCAUACAUUUUAUUUAACUAAUUGAUA